AGGAUGAACGCUGGCGGCGUGCCUAAUACAUGCAAGUCGAGCGGUAAGGCCUCUUCGGAGGUACACGAGCGGCGGACGGCUGAGUAACACGUAGGAACGUACCCCAAAGUGAGGGAUAAGCACCAGAAAUGGUGUCUAAUACCGCAUGUGCUCUAAGGAGUAAAGCUUCGGCGCUUUGGGAACGGCCUGCGCAUGAUUAGCUUGUUGGUGAGGUAAAAGCUCACCAAGGCGACGAUCAUUAGCUGGUCUGAGAGGAUGAUCAGCCAGACUGGGACUGAGAACGGCCCAGACUCCUACGGGAGGCAGCAGUAGGGAAUUUUCCACAAUGGGCGAAAGCCUGAUGGAGCAACGCCGCGUGCAGGAUGAAUGCCUUAGGGUUGUAAACUGCUUUUAUCUGUGACGAAUAUGACGGUAGCAGAUGAAUAAGGAUCGGCUAACUCCGUGCCAGCAGCCGC
Molecule: ribosomal RNA, 455 nt
Filed under: uncultured bacterium
Lineage: Bacteria
Description: SSU rRNA
Rfam family: Bacterial small subunit ribosomal RNA
Source: RNAcentral